RNAcentral lists this small nuclear RNA (107 nucleotides) under Dasypus novemcinctus (nine-banded armadillo). Lineage: Eukaryota; Metazoa; Chordata; Mammalia; Cingulata; Dasypodidae. The record is from RNAcentral.
UUGCUUGCUUCGGCAGCACAUAUACUGAAAUUGGAAUGAUACAGAGAAGAUUAGCCUGGCCCCUAUGCAAGGAUGACAUACAAAUUCAUGAAGCAUUCCAUAUUUUU